This 351-nucleotide ribosomal RNA is filed under the name uncultured bacterium. RNAcentral's name for it is "bacterial SSU rRNA". It matches the Rfam family "Bacterial small subunit ribosomal RNA", at positions 8 to 350 of the family's 1533-position model. The record is from RNAcentral.
AGAGUUUGAUCCUGGCUCAGGAUGGACGCUAGCUACAGGCUUAACACAUGCAAGUCGGGGGGAAACGACAUCGAAAGCUUGCUUUUGAUGGGCGUCGACCGGCGCACGGGUGAGUAACGCGUAUCCAACCUGCCCACCACUUGGGGAUAACCUUGCGAAAGUAAGACUAAUACCCAAUGACGUCUCUAGAAGACAUCUGAAGGAGAUUAAAGAUUUAUCGGUGAUGGAUGGGGAUGCGUCUGAUUAGCUUGUUGGCGGGGUAACGGCCCACCAAGGCGACGAUCAGUAGGGGUUCUGAGAGGAAGGUCCCCACAUUGGAACUGAGACACGGUCCAAACUCCUACGGAGGCA